This 104-nucleotide ribosomal RNA is filed under the name Erysiphe sp. HV1. RNAcentral describes it as "5.8S ribosomal RNA". It matches the Rfam family "5.8S ribosomal RNA", at positions 1 to 104 of the family's 154-position model. Rfam says of the family: 5.8S ribosomal RNA (5.8S rRNA) is a component of the large subunit of the eukaryotic ribosome. It is transcribed by RNA polymerase I as part of the 45S precursor that also contains 18S and 28S rRNA. The record is from RNAcentral. Lineage: Eukaryota; Fungi; Ascomycota; Leotiomycetes; Helotiales; Erysiphaceae.
AACUUUCAACAACGGAUCUCUUGGCUCUGGCAUCGAUGAAGAACGCAGCGAAAUGCGAUAAGUAAUGUGAAUUGCAGAAUUUAGUGAAUCAUCGAAUCUUUGAA